GACGAACGCUGGCGGCGUGCCUAAUACAUGCAAGUAGAACGCCGUUGCGAACGGGUGAGUAACGCGUCGGUAACCGCCCCAUAGCGGGGGAUAACUAUUGGAAACGAUAGCUAAUACCGAAUACUGUGGGAUGGACCUGCGUUGUAUUAGAGAGUUGGAGAGGUAAAGGCUCACCAAGGUGACGAUACAUAGCCGACCUGAGAGGGGGUACGGCCACACUGGGAAUGAGAAACUGCUCAGUCUCCUACGGGAUGCAGGCGUAGGGAAUCUUCGUCAAUUGACGGAAGUCUGACCGAGCAACGCCGCGUGCGGGAAGAAGGUUCUCGGAUCUUAAAGGUCUUUUGUUAGAGAAGCGUUAACUAACCAGAAAGGGACGGCUAACUACGUGCCAGCAGCCGCGGUAAUUC
Molecule: ribosomal RNA, 407 nt
Filed under: uncultured bacterium
Lineage: Bacteria
Description: partial 16S ribosomal RNA
Rfam family: Bacterial small subunit ribosomal RNA
Source: RNAcentral